CCUACGGGUGGCUGCAGUGGGGAAUAUUGGACAAUGGGGGGAACCCUGAUCCAGCCAUGCCGCGUGUGUGAAGAAGGCCCUCGGGUUGUAAAGCACUUUCAGUGAGGAAGAACGCCUUGUGGUUAAUACCCAUCAGGAAAGACAUCACUCACAGAAGAAGCACCGGCUAACUCCGUGCCAGCAGCCGCGGUAAUACGGAGGGUGCGAGCGUUAAUCGGAAUUACUGGGCGUAAAGCGCGCGUAGGUGGCUUGAUAAGCCGGUUGUGAAAGCCCCGGGCUCAACCUGGGAACGGCAUCCGGAACUGUCAAGCUAGAGUGCAGGAGAGGAAGGUAGAAUUCCCGGUGUAGCGGUGAAAUGCGUAGAGAUCGGGAGGAAUACCAGUGGCGAAGGCGGCCUUCUGGACUGACACUGACACUGAGGUGCGAAAGCGUGGGUAGCAAACAGGAUUAGAUACCCCAGUAGUC
This 465-nucleotide ribosomal RNA is filed under the name Vreelandella stevensii. RNAcentral's name for it is "partial 16S ribosomal RNA". It matches the Rfam family "Bacterial small subunit ribosomal RNA", at positions 338 to 795 of the family's 1533-position model. Lineage: Bacteria; Pseudomonadati; Pseudomonadota; Gammaproteobacteria; Oceanospirillales; Halomonadaceae. The record is from RNAcentral.